RNAcentral lists this long non-coding RNA (322 nucleotides) under Physcomitrium patens. RNAcentral's name for it is "long non-coding RNA (PPAT_LNC001452)". Lineage: Eukaryota; Viridiplantae; Streptophyta; Bryopsida; Funariales; Funariaceae. The record is from RNAcentral.
UGAAAGCAUUUUUUGAAACAUCUCUCUUCAUUCCUUAUCAAAUAUUUUUCAUACUGAACUUUCAAACCAUCUAAUAUUAAUUCAUUCUUAAAUUCAUGACCUAUUUUUUUAGAUCUUUUAAAUUCGAUUGCAUAGAAGCCUUCUCAAUUCUUUCCUCAAAAUCAAAUGGUAGUAGUAAUGCCACUGGUUUAAUCUUUUUUGCAAUAGUUUUAUAUGUUGUAUUCACCUCCACCUCAUAUUUAUCUAUAUAUUCUUUCAUUACAUCAUAAAAUUACUUAGAAUUCAUAUUUAUUAUAUUAUCAAAAUCUAAAUCCAAUAACAU